GACGAACGCUGGCGGCGUGCUUAACACAUGCAAGUCGAACGGAAAGGCCCAGCUUGCUGGGUACUCGAGUGGCGAACGGGUGAGUAACACGUGGGUGAUCUGCCCUGGACUCUGGGAUAAGCCUGGGAAACUGGGUCUAAUACCGGAUAUGACCUUACAUCGCAUGGUGUUUGGUGGAAAGCUUUUGCGGUUCAGGAUGGGCCCGCGGCCUAUCAGCUUGUUGGUGGGGUAAUGGCCUACCAAGGCGACGACGGGUAGCCGACCUGAGAGGGUGAUCGGCCACACUGGGACUGAGACACGGCCCAGACUCCUACGGGAGGCAGCAGUGGGGAAUAUUGCACAAUGGGCGCAAGCCUGAUGCAGCGACGCCGCGUGAGGGAUGACGGCCUUCGGGUUGUAAACCUCUUUCACCAGGGACGAAGCGUGUGUGACGGUACCUGGAGAAGAAGCACCGGCCAACUACGUG
This 466-nucleotide ribosomal RNA is filed under the name uncultured bacterium. Its description in RNAcentral is "partial 16S ribosomal RNA". It matches the Rfam family "Bacterial small subunit ribosomal RNA", at positions 28 to 507 of the family's 1533-position model. The record is from RNAcentral.